UAGUGGUGGUAGAACUUGUACCGUCUUCAAAAUGAUCCAGUGAUAAAAGGCUGGGGAUAGUCAUAGGUUCGUAUCUUCCAGGAUCAACAUAAUCUUUAAAUGAAAGGACAGUGGUUAGGCCUCUAUAUUUGACCACUUGAUUUCUGUACCACUGCUUUUUAUAACAUUCAAAGAGAAAACACCGGAGCUCAACCGAUUUAUGAUAAGUCGCUAUAAUCCAACGAUAUGAGACUUUCACAGUCAUCUCGAUAUCUGUAUUUAUAUUUAUAUAUAACAACUAGUCUGUCAGAGCUGAAACAUGAUGCUUACACAACUGUUCCUUGUCUCUCCCCCCUCUAGCCUGAAAAUGAUUCGCUACCUCAUAUCGAUAUUGGCAUCGGGCACAAAAAUCCACAUCAGUCGGGCUCCAGAAAACACUGACUACAAACUGAUGUCUACUCUGAUUUUCAUGCACGGGCUUUUUUUGAAACAUCUUAACUGCUGAUGUAAGGGAAGCUCCUAUACCGUUUCUUGCAGUGUGAUUGGAUGCAGCUGUGGAACCAUUGCGCAGAGCAGAGUGAGGGUGACAUGCACACAGAGAGGACAGCACGACGAAGAGGAGGAAGUGGAGGAAGAACUGUUCCCCCUCCCGAGUCAUCAUCAUCAUCUGUGGACUGAGACAAACCAGUGAGUGAGCGAGAGAAGCCCUGUCUGCACAAAGAAGGAGAAGGACACCCGGCUUUUCACGAGCCUCCUCUUUCCUCUGCCAUUUGUGUUUUUCUUCUCUGCAUCAGUGGGUUUUGGAAAACGUCUUGACCAUUUGGCUCCAUUCACACGUUGCCUCUCUUUCUGGCACCUACGCCUGUGAGAGGAUAUUUCUUGAGAUGAGCUAGAAGUCGGCCAGAGAGCAGCCGGGUCAAGAAUGAGGUUGUGUAAUCGCCAAAAGCACACAGAAGACCUGUCAUCACAUCGAGGAGAGCAGCAGGGCCGCACUGCGUUCGAGGGGGAGGAUGUUUGACGAAGGCUGCGAGUCACACAACGCCCCCCCCCCUUAACAUGAAGUCGAUCUCCUGAGUCUUGUGAUGGCAUUACAGCCUGUAGAUGCUUCUCAAAGGACGAAAAGUGACCGUUUUCAAGAAGGGAGACCAUUUUAUAUUUGGUCCCGUCUCUGUAGAUCCGGACAUUGUACUUCCAAAGUGGAACACAAAUAGAAAAGUAAAAGAAAAUGAUCUAUUGUUGUCUUUCACACAUGAAAACUGAGAUGUUUUGACUCUGCUGAACCCAAACUAAAGAAUCCUAGUCGCCACAGAGUCCCCUGACAUUCAAUAUGUGAUUGAACAUUUCUUAACUGGGUAACAAAUCUUUUAAGAUCUAGUUGUGAAAGCCCCUGAAGAACAUGGGGAGAUUUCAACACAGACACAACCAGCAAAGUCACAAAAAUGCCACAGAAAUAGUCUGGAUGCUUAAACAGAUGUGUUUAGUACAGUGUUGCUGCUUAUAUGUUGUGACUGAAAGUGUGCUACUGAUUAACUGAGAGCACAUGAAACUUCAUGUUCACCACAUUGUAUAGUAAUUCAUCAAGAGAUGUCAGCCCAGCAAUUUUGACAUUCAUGGUUUAUCAUUCAGCCAUUUCUUAUGUUGGGAAAGUGAACUUUUGGACCCCACUUUAUUAAAUUGCUCUUCCUGUUGUGUCAGUGUUUGACUAAUGGGCUUUAGAUGCAGCAUGAAGAUAAUCAUUAACUUACAUUCCUCCUGCUGCCUUUUCUGGUUGGAUUGGAAAACUACGUGCGCCUGCCUGGACUGGCCCGGUGGGACUCACCGUGAGUCAUCCAUCCAGAAAAUGACACAACUACCGGCUCUCAAGCUGCCUGCCUGUUUGAACACUCAUCUCCUCAGAUGUGAGCAAUAUCACCGACUGACUCAACAAGCAGCUCUGCGGCCGCACUCAGGAGCAAGAGGCAGUUUCAGUACGUGACGUAAGCCAUCACACCCAGCAAUUUAAGACCGGAGUCAGUGAAUUAGUUGCCUAAAGUUAGAAGGAAUCAAAGCGUAUGUGGAUCACAGAAGGGAACACAUCACAUGGCAGUAAAAAAAAGUUGUUUAUAGAGGUUGUAUAUUCUAAAGCUCACAGGGCCUCGAAUGCAAAGAAGUGGCAAACUGUGUUUAUUCCACUAUAGAGCAUGUGUGCACUUUCUUUUUUCCCCACAACAAGUAUCCAGCAGGAGGGUCUCAGGUUUCAGCCCCUCUCCCUUUCACAACACCCAGACCAUAAAUCAUAAACACCAUGCAUCUCCGGGUGAGGUGUCACAGCUCCCUGGCUCUCAGUUUGGGGACUUCUACAGUCAGUAGAUCAUGCAGCAGGGAUAUAUUUUUCACACUUUUUGUGACAAUGUGCAGAGCUCUGGUUUAGCCUGUCAUUUCCAGCUUCACAGCACAGAGGGUGGAGAGGAGGGGGCAG
Molecule: long non-coding RNA, 2437 nt
Organism: Pleuronectes platessa (European plaice)
Lineage: Eukaryota; Metazoa; Chordata; Actinopteri; Pleuronectiformes; Pleuronectidae
Exons: 3
Source: RefSeq, a predicted model, not a curated record